Molecule: ribosomal RNA, 497 nt
Filed under: uncultured bacterium
Lineage: Bacteria
Description: partial 16S ribosomal RNA
Rfam family: Bacterial small subunit ribosomal RNA
Source: RNAcentral
GAUGAACGCUGGCGGCGUGCCUAAUACAUGCAAGUCGAGCGAACAGAUAAGGAGCUUGCUCCUUUGACGUUAGCGGCGGACGGGUGAGUAACACGUGGAUAACCUACCUAUAAGACUGGGAUAACUUCGGGAAACCGGAGCCAAUACCGGAUAACAUAUUGAACCGCAUGGUUCAAUAGUGAAAGGCGGCUUUGCUGUCACUUAUAGAUGGAUCCGCGCCGCAUUAGCUAGUUGGUAAGGUAACGGCUUACCAAGGCAACGAUACGUAGCCGACCUGAGAGGGUGAUCGGCCACACUGGAACUGAGACACGGUCCAGACUCCUACGGGAGGCAGCAGUAGGGAAUCUUCCGCAAUGGGCGAAAGCCUGACGGAGCAACGCCGCGUGAGUGAUGAAGGUCUUCGGAUCGUAAAACUCUGUUAUCAGGGAAGAACAAAUGUGUAAGUAACUGUGCACAUCUUGACGGUACCUGAUCAGAAAGCCACGGCUAACUACGUG